Molecule: non-coding RNA, 887 nt
Organism: Lactuca sativa (garden lettuce)
Lineage: Eukaryota; Viridiplantae; Streptophyta; Magnoliopsida; Asterales; Asteraceae
Source: RefSeq, a predicted model, not a curated record
UUCUACCGUCCAAGAAGAAUAGCAUCCGGAGGCAAGAAUGAAAGGCAUGAGCGCCAAAUUGAAGCCUUGAGAACUGCAAUCGUCAAUCGUCAAAUACCAAUCCAUGCCUUUGAAAAUCGUGCGAGUUGUGUGUGGAGAUUAGAGGAGUCGACACUCAAAGAUCGAGGAAAUAGGAGUAGAAACACUCUAAAUCGACUGAUUUCUGAGUUCGAUUUCUCUCUAAACCUACUGCUAAUCGACUUUUUUCAACCUUUCCUUUGAUUUCUAUUUUUGAGUUCGAUUUAAAUAACCUCUCAUUGUUAAACCGAUAAGACUGAGUUCGAUUUUUUUUUCAAUCUAAAGCAAGAGACAACUAACGAAAGCAUCAUCUUCAACUGAUUUGGCUUUUUAGGAGUUCGGAUGUUGGAUAUUUUAUGGUUUUCAACCUGAAGUAGAGACGAGGAAAGAAAGGACUGAUUUUUGAUUUCUCUUUAACUGAUUUGGGAGUUGGAGCUCUGAUUUGUCUCCUAUUUGAACUCGAAAUCUGUUUGCUUUGUAUCUGAUAUUUGUUGUUUGAAGUUGGCUUCAGAAGGCAUAUUGUCUAUUGAAGUUAUGAUUUCUGUUUAUUUAGAAAUUUGGUUAGUGGCUACUGGUUCUUGUUCUUAUUUCUAGAAAGAUAUCAUGACAUCUUGGAAGUGGAAACGAGAAGAAUGAAUAUGUUCCCUAAUCUGUUGGUUACUUAUAUAAUAUUUUGGAUGAUGUCAGUAAUGUUUGCUUCUGUGAAAAAAGUUCUUCAAAAUUGAAGCUUUUAAAAUAAGAUAUAUUUGCACUUCAAAAAAUGCACAAAAACAUAUGGUUGUGGUGAUUUUUGUAGUUUUUGUUUGAAUUAUUUGCUUGAUUGUAAAAUU